RNAcentral lists this non-coding RNA (779 nucleotides) under Grapholita delineana. The record is from RNAcentral. Lineage: Eukaryota; Metazoa; Arthropoda; Insecta; Lepidoptera; Tortricidae.
AUAAAAAUUUUUAUGAUUUAAAAAAUUUAUUUUAAAUUUAUUUUACAUAUAAAUUUUAGUGUAAAAUUUUAAUUAUUUUAAUAAUAAUUAAUUUUAUUAGUAGUAAUUAAUAUUAAAAAUUUAAGAAAUUAAGAUUUAGUAAUAUAUAAAUUAAUAACAAAUUUUGUGCCAGCAGUUGCGGUUAAACAAAAAUUAAAUUAAAUUUUAUUAGUAAUUAAUUAAUAUUUAUUAUUAUUAAAUAAUUAAAACAUUAAAUUAUUAGGUGAAAUUUUAAUUUAAUUAAAAAUUAAUUAUAAAUUAUGAUUUAAUAAAUUUUAUUAUAAACUAGGAUUAGAUACCCUAUUAUUAAAAAUUUAAAUUAUAAUACUAAAAUAGUAGAUAAUUGUUUAUUGAAACUUAAUUAAUUUGGCGGUAUUUUAGUUCAUUUAGAGGAAUCUGUUUAUUAAUUGAUAAUCCACGAAUAAUUUUACUUAAUUAAUAAUUUUGUAUAUCGUUGUUAAAAAAAUAUUUUUGAAUAAUUUUAAUAUUUAAAAAUUUUAAAUAAAAAUUAAAUCAGAUCAAGAUGCAGAUUAUAAUUAAGAAUAUAAUGGAUUACAAUAAAUUUAUUUAUAUGGAUAUUUAAUUGAAAUAUUAAAUUAAAAGUGGAUUUAAAUGUAAUUUUAUUUAAUUUAAUAAAAUGAUUAAAAAUUAAAAUAUGUACAUAUUGCCCGUCGCUUUCAUUUAUAAAUUGAAAUAAGUCGUAACAAAGUAGAGGUACUGGAAAGUGUUUCUAGAAAGAA